CAAUAGCGUAUAUUAAAGUUGUUGCAGUUAAAAGCUCGUAGUUGGACUUCUGGGCUUGUGUUGUGGUCCGCCUCACGGUGAGUACUGCGACAUGGGUCCUUCUUCUUGAAGACUGUGCGUGUCCUUAACUGGGUGUGUACAGGAUUUGAGACCUUUACUUUGAAAAAUUAGAGUGUUUCUAGCAGGCAGCUCGCUCUUGCAUAGGUUAGCAUGGGAUAAUUUAAUAGGACUCUGGUGCUAUUUUGUUGGUUUCGAACACCGGAGUAAUGAUUAAAAGGGGCAGUCAGGGGCACUCGUAUUCCGUCGAGAGAGGUGAAAUUCUCAGACCAAUGGAAGACGAACCACUGCGAAAGCAUUUGCCAGGGAUGUUUUCACUGAUCAAGAACGAAAGUUAGGGGAUCGAAGAGGAUCAGAUACCGU
This 420-nucleotide ribosomal RNA is filed under the name uncultured eukaryote. RNAcentral's name for it is "bacterial SSU rRNA". It matches the Rfam family "Eukaryotic small subunit ribosomal RNA", at positions 592 to 1018 of the family's 1831-position model. The record is from RNAcentral.